RNAcentral lists this long non-coding RNA (315 nucleotides) under Gossypium raimondii (Peruvian cotton). RNAcentral describes it as "long non-coding RNA (GRAI_LNC005544)". Lineage: Eukaryota; Viridiplantae; Streptophyta; Magnoliopsida; Malvales; Malvaceae. The record is from RNAcentral.
CAUCAAUUCCUAUACCUCUGAAGAUGCGGUAGGAUGGAAUGAGGCUACUUGAAGAAAACGAGCACCAAGAUGUCAAUGUUUGACAGAGCCAGGAAAAAUAGGCCAUUUUUAAAGUCUUUACUCCAUUCUCGUUACACGACAACGAGCAAAGAGGGGCAGCUGUAAUAGGCCUAUUUUGAUCAGGCCCAAAGCAUACCCAAUUUUAUAAAUAAAAAUAAAAACAAAAAUAAUUAAAAGUCCAUCAGUCCAUAUUACAAGCCUAAAAUCAUACAUACCAAAUACACCCCAGCCCAAUCGCCUUACAAGCCCAAACCA